This is a small nuclear RNA of Nannospalax galili (Upper Galilee mountains blind mole rat), 107 nucleotides long. Lineage: Eukaryota; Metazoa; Chordata; Mammalia; Rodentia; Spalacidae. The record is from Ensembl.
ACGCUCACUUUGGCAGCACAUGCACUAAAACUGGAACAAUGCAGAGAAGAUUCACAGAACCCCUGCACAGGAAUGACACACAAAUUCCUGAAGCAUUCUACAUUUUU